CAGUCUCCAUCUAGACUUGGGGCUUCUAGCUCAGGGGCAGCCCUUGCUUCGACGGAGCAAGGGUUAUGCAUCCCAUUGAUUCAGCCAUCCUCUGACUCAACAUUGAAGAGUUGGAGGGUCGCCUAUGACUUCACAGGCUUCUUCUUCUAGCCGAUGCUAUAAAGCUGGAAGAGGUGGGUUAUAGCACUCAGUGGAGGGACAUGCUAAACUCAUUCAUCCGAGUAAGUACCCUCUCAAUCUUUCUUUAUUAUUACUAUUUUUUUUCAUUACUUCUUCGUACUAACAGAUCUUUCCAUUUUUUGUAGCUUUGCCAUUAUCUGACAAUCUUUACUAAAUAGCAAAGUUGGCA
Molecule: long non-coding RNA, 349 nt
Filed under: Elaeis guineensis (African oil palm)
Lineage: Eukaryota; Viridiplantae; Streptophyta; Magnoliopsida; Arecales; Arecaceae
Description: long non-coding RNA (EGUI_LNC036269)
Source: RNAcentral